Molecule: long non-coding RNA, 613 nt
Organism: Musca domestica (house fly)
Lineage: Eukaryota; Metazoa; Arthropoda; Insecta; Diptera; Muscidae
Exons: 3
Source: RefSeq, a predicted model, not a curated record
UAUUUCUGGUGAAUAAACGCAAUAGGACGAAAAGCCGCAGACAAUAACUGCCUACUAUAAUCGCAAGAAAAUAUCCUUUCAGGGAAAAAGAACAAUCGAAUUACGUUGUUGUCUCAUGAAAAUAAUUAUCCUCAAGACAUUCCGAUCAAGUAAGAAAAUCUAAAGCCAAUUGUGGAAAAUUGGUAUGGACUCCCUUGCAAAUUCUCUGAGUAUAGCAAUGACCAUGCUCAUUCCUUUGUUUGCCAUAAAAUUAGCAUAUGCCAUUUCGGAUAAACAUACACAAAGUAAACGAUGUGAAUUUUCAGGAGCGUGGUUUGGGAUUAUGGUUUCAUAAAUCAGUCGAAUAAACCCAAAAAUAUUAGAACUCGUCCUUCUACUCUUCUCGUUACAAUACAGAAGGAUGUUUUCCUAUUUUUAGAUGUUUGAUGACAGAACAUUGGCAUGAAUGAUUGACAGUGGAGAACAGUCUAGCGCUUAACAAAAAAUGAAAAGGAACAGUGGGGGGCAUUACAAAAAUUUAUUAUGAAAUUACUUUAAUUAUAUUGUUAAAUUAUAAACGUCAUUAUAUGAGUCAAUAAAAUCAAUUUAAAUUGCCACGCUUAGCCAAAAUGUA